GACAGAGGCCUCAAGCGUUAGGCGGAAUCACUGGGCUUAAAGCAUCCGUAGCCGGUUCUACAAGUCUUCCGUUAAAUCCAACUGCUUAACAGGUGGGCUGCGGAAGAUACUAUAGAGCUAGGAGGCGGGAGAGGCAAGCGGUACUCGAUGGGUAGGGGUAAAAUCCGUUGAUCCAUUGAAGACCACCAGUGGCGAAGGCGGCUCGCCAGAACGCGCUCGACGGUGAGGGAUGAAAGCUGGGGGAGCAAACCGG
Molecule: ribosomal RNA, 253 nt
Filed under: uncultured bacterium
Lineage: Bacteria
Description: partial 16S ribosomal RNA
Rfam family: Bacterial small subunit ribosomal RNA
Source: RNAcentral